UAGACAUUGGAAGAAAAAGUCUACCCAACCUCCGGUUUGUGGGUCGCACUCCACACUCCUGACGUGGCGAACCCGGUUCUUCACCUACGUCGGUUUAGUUGCUCACUUCUCUCAGGCUUCUCUCACUUGCCUCUUACCCUUCACUCCCCCAGGGCCAAGCUUCCCUCAGCCAUCCUCUUCUCCCUCAGACUCGAGCCUGCUUCGUUCCUCCCCCCAGCGCCCAUCUCUUCUCCGUCAGCCCAUAUUUUCUCCCUCAACCCGGUCUUACUCUUCCCUCACCCAUCACCCCGACACCCCUUACCCCUGAAACCCUAGAAAUGCUAUUUAUCAUCCUUAACGAAGACCUCAUCUCCCUCACCCCCUUUAGUCCUGAUCUGUCCCUCUCACCGAGCCCUCUUUGUAAGGAUCCCGUGCUGACCCCAGCCAUCUCUCUCGCUCUCAAACUCCGAACGGUGGGUUGAGGUUCUCUUGCAAACUCCAGACAUCGUAGACAAACCCAGAUCCGCCAAUCUCUCCAUUGUAGACGUCAAUAACCCAAGGAUGAUAGCCGGAGACUUGCAUCCACAUUAUUUCCAUCAUUGAGUCCCCAACUGAAAAGAAAAAAGGAUCAUGAAUUACUGGCAAAAAAUCCUGAGGUAACAGUCCUUGAUCCUCCAUAUGCCAUAGAACAUCUGCACAAUGGUCAGUCCAUGCUGCCGGAUGUGGCAGAUCUAAACUUGUCCGACUGCCAUG
Carya illinoinensis is the source of this 732-nucleotide long non-coding RNA. RefSeq lists it as uncharacterized. Lineage: Eukaryota; Viridiplantae; Streptophyta; Magnoliopsida; Fagales; Juglandaceae. The record is from RefSeq and is a predicted model, not a curated record. The transcript has 3 exons.